This is a long non-coding RNA of Culex quinquefasciatus (southern house mosquito), 326 nucleotides long. RefSeq lists it as uncharacterized. The transcript has 3 exons. NCBI's taxonomy places the organism in Eukaryota, Metazoa, Arthropoda, Insecta, Diptera, Culicidae. The record is from RefSeq and is a predicted model, not a curated record.
GCGACACCCCUUUAGCGCUCCGAGCGCCACCACAGUCAAGUUACAGGGUUUCCAUGAUACCAACGGAGGUGGUGGCUGUUUGUGGCGGUGAGUGAGUUGCAACAAACGAUUUUCGAGAGGCGUAAACAGGUACUCUGCCGGGAACCGAUGGUCCGUUAAUGUGAAGUCUGCACCAGCAAACUGGUUGCGCCAAUUCAUGGGAUUCGCGUCGUUGAAAUGUUGAUGUUCGAUAUAAAGGACCAGGAGUUGAUAGCGAAAAUGGCGAUUGACAAGGCCGCUACAGCAGUUCCCACCCCAUGUGUCGUGUCCAGGGGGGCGACAUCUAU